Molecule: ribosomal RNA, 106 nt
Filed under: Caerostris darwini
Lineage: Eukaryota; Metazoa; Arthropoda; Arachnida; Araneae; Araneidae
Source: RNAcentral
AACGGCCAUACCAUGCUGAAUAUACCGGUUCUCGUUAGAUCACCGAAGUCAAGCAUCAUUGGCCAGUACUUGGGUGGGUGACCACCUGGGAACACCGCGUGCCGUU